This 276-nucleotide long non-coding RNA is filed under the name Bos taurus (domestic cattle). RNAcentral describes it as "long non-coding RNA NONBTAT006615". The record is from RNAcentral. Lineage: Eukaryota; Metazoa; Chordata; Mammalia; Artiodactyla; Bovidae.
CCUGAUGGCUACUCUUCUCAUCAAUAUAUCCUCACCAUCAGAUGCCUUGAUGGGCAGAGAUUAAUAGGUUUAAUGGCCUCAUCCAUUGCUGGUUUUAAACAAUAUCUUAUAUGUACUCUAUGAUGAAUAUAUACUUUAAAAAAUAAAUCGACACUAAAGGCCCUUGGAUUUAUGUCAAUAGUUGCAAAAGAUCUAGAAUAGACUUGCGGAUAUCUUUCAUUGAAUUCUGUAUGUGAAGUAUUCCAUUUGCCAAAGUAAAUUUGUCUUCAGACCUCU